RNAcentral lists this ribosomal RNA (481 nucleotides) under uncultured bacterium. RNAcentral describes it as "partial 16S ribosomal RNA". It matches the Rfam family "Bacterial small subunit ribosomal RNA", at positions 30 to 506 of the family's 1533-position model. The record is from RNAcentral.
AUUGAACGCUGGCGGCAUGCUUUACACAUGCAAGUCGAACGGUAACAGGCCGCAAGGUGCUGACGAGUGGCGAACGGGUGAGUAAUGCAUCGGAACGUGCCCAGUCGUGGGGGAUAACUACUCGACAGAGUAGCUAAUACCGCAUACGAUCUAUGGAUGAACGCGGGGGACCGUAAGGCCUCGCGCGAUUGGAGCGGCCGAUGUCAGGUUAGGUAGUUGGUGGGGUAAAGGCUCACCAAGCCAACGAUCUGUAGCUGGUCUGAGAGGACGACCAGCCACAGUGGGACUGAGACACGGCCCAGACUCCUACGGAAGGCAGCAGUGGGGAAUUUUGGACAAUGGGGGCAAGCCUGCUCCAGCAAUGCCGCGUGCAGGAAGAAGGCCUGCGGGUUGUAAACUGCUUUUGUACGGAACGAAACGGCUCUGGUUAAUACCCGGGGCUAAUGACGGUACCGUAAGAAUAAGCACCGGCUACCUACGU